This 410-nucleotide ribosomal RNA is filed under the name Streptomyces bottropensis. RNAcentral describes it as "bacterial SSU rRNA". It matches the Rfam family "Bacterial small subunit ribosomal RNA", at positions 21 to 434 of the family's 1533-position model. The record is from RNAcentral. Lineage: Bacteria; Bacillati; Actinomycetota; Actinomycetes; Kitasatosporales; Streptomycetaceae.
GGCUCAGGACGAACGCUGGCGGCGUGCUUAACACAUGCAAGUCGAACGAUGAACCACUUCGGUGGGGAUUAGUGGCGAACGGGUGAGUAACACGUGGGCAAUCUGCCCUUCACUCUGGGACAAGCCCUGGAAACGGGGUCUAAUACCGGAUACAACACUCUCGGGCAUCCGAUGAGUGUGGAAAGCUCCGGCGGUGAAGGAUGAGCCCGCGGCCUAUCAGCUUGUUGGUGAGGUAAUGGCUCACCAAGGCGACGACGGGUAGCCGGCCUGAGAGGGCGACCGGCCACACUGGGACUGAGACACGGCCCAGACUCCUACGGGAGGCAGCAGUGGGGAAUAUUGCACAAUGGGCGAAAGCCUGAUGCAGCGACGCCGCGUGAGGGAUGACGGCCUUCGGGUUGUAAACCUCU